Molecule: ribosomal RNA, 490 nt
Filed under: uncultured bacterium
Lineage: Bacteria
Description: partial 16S ribosomal RNA
Rfam family: Bacterial small subunit ribosomal RNA
Source: RNAcentral
GAUGAACGCUAGCGAUAGGCUUAACACAUGCAAGUCGAGGGGCAGCAUGGUCUUAGCUUGCUAAGACUGAUGGCGACCGGCGCACGGGUGCGUAACGCGUAUACAACUUGCCUCACAGAGGGGGAUAACCCGUCGAAAGACGGACUAAUACCGCGUACACUUGGGAUAGGGCAUCCUGACCCAAGGAAAUGAAAUUCGCUGUGAGAUAGGCAUGCGUCCCAUUAGCUAGUUGGUGAGGUAACGGCUCACCAAGGCGACGAUGGGUAGGGGAACUGAGAGGUUGAACCCCCACACUGGUACUGAGACACGGACCAGACUCCUACGGGAGGCAGCAGUGAGGAAUAUUGGUCAAUGGGCGAGAGCCUGAACCAGCCAAGUCGCGUGAAGGAUGACUGUCUUAUGGAUUGUAAACUUCUUUUAUACGGGAAUAACAAGAGCCACGUGUGGCUCCCUGCAUGUACCGUAUGAAUAAGCAUCGGCUAACUCCGUG